This 490-nucleotide ribosomal RNA is filed under the name uncultured bacterium. RNAcentral's name for it is "partial 16S ribosomal RNA". It matches the Rfam family "Bacterial small subunit ribosomal RNA", at positions 30 to 507 of the family's 1533-position model. The record is from RNAcentral.
AUUGAACGCUGGCGGCAGGCCUAACACAUGCAAGUCGAACGGUAACAGGAAGCAGCUUGCUGCUUUGCUGACGAGUGGCGGCCGGGUGAGUAAUGUCUGGGAAACUGCCUGAUGGAGGGGGAUAACUACUGGAAACGGUAGCUAAUACCGCAUAACGUCGCAAGACCAAAGAGGGGGACCUUCUGGCCUCUUGCCAUCUGAUGUGCCCAGAUGGGUUUAGCUAGUAGGUGGGGUAACUGCUCACCUAGGCGACGAUCCCUAGCUGGUCUGCGAGGAUGACCAGGCAAACUGGAACUGAGACAAGGUCGAGACUCCUACGGGAGGCAGCAGUGGGGAAUAUUGAACGAUGGGCGCAAGGCUGAUGAAGCGAGGACGCGUGUAGGAAGAAGGUCUAAGGGUUGUAAAGUACUUGCAGCGGGGAGGAAGGGAGUAAAGUUAAUACCUUGGCUCAUUGACGUUACCCGCAGAAGAAGCACCGGCUAACGCCAUG